CUGACACAGGGAGGUAGUGACAAUAAAUAACAAUACCGGGCGUUUUUACGUCUGGUAAUUGGAAUGAGAACAAUCUAAAUCCCUUAUCGAGGAUCAAUUGGAGGGCAAGUCUGGUGCCAGCAGCCGCGGUAAUUCCAGCUCCAAUAGCGUAUAUUUAAGUUGUUGCGGUUAAAAAGCUCGUAGUUGGAUUUCGGGCGUGGAAGUUCGGUCCGCCGUUUCGGUGUGCACUGUCUUUCUGCGUCUUUCUGUCGGGGACGCGCUUCUGGCCUUAAUUGGCUGGGACGUGGAUUCGACGAGGUUACUUUGAAAAAUUAGAGUGUUCAAAGCAAGCUAAAGCUCUGAAUACAUUAGCAUGGAAUAACGCGAGAGGACUCGGUCCUUAUUUUGUUGGUCUUCAAGGAUGGAGUAAUGAUUAAGAGGGACAGUUGGGGGCAUUCGUAUUUCAUUGCUAGAGGUGAAAUUCUUGGAUUUAUGAAAGACGAACUUCUGCGAAAGCAUUUGCCAAGGAUGUUUUCAUUG
RNAcentral lists this ribosomal RNA (519 nucleotides) under uncultured Pyramimonadales. RNAcentral describes it as "SSU rRNA". It matches the Rfam family "Eukaryotic small subunit ribosomal RNA", at positions 451 to 975 of the family's 1831-position model. Lineage: Eukaryota; Viridiplantae; Chlorophyta; Pyramimonadophyceae; Pyramimonadales. The record is from RNAcentral.